CCGUUUCCUCACGCACACAGCACAAUAGGAUAUCGAAGUGAAGGCUUGUUUAAACUUUAUUUUACUGUGUGUAAAAUUUUAAAUCAGUCGCCAAAAAGUAGUUGGAGAUGUCACAGAAGUGAAAGGUGGAGGCAGAACACAGAAGAUUCCUAAAUCGUUAGCCAGAUGAUUAUUUGUUCAAUGAAUAAUUGACGGCAAGGCAGUAUGUCUGAUUUGUAUAGCAACAGUUGUUGUUAUGAAAGAUUGUAACAUACAACGUCACUAUGACACGCUGCACAAAGCAACGUAUUUUGAGUUUACUGGAAAUGAAAGAAGCUAUGGAGUCUCAACUAAUGUUUUUUCUGAAAAAUGAGAAGAAAAAAUGAAAGCGCUGUGGAUUCCAUGAACACAAUCACAGGAAAGGCCUUUUUUACUUCAAGAAUACAUGGAAAGUGCAGAAAUACCUUGGAAGAAACUAACUGGGAUUACAACAUAUGACUGGACAAAAGAGUGGACUGGCUAGCAGAGUGCUGGAAAAAAUUUAAGAAAGAAAUGCAGGAGUACCAAUUUUCUUACACUGGAUUCUGCAUCAACGGGCAUUAUGUGGAAAAGUUGCAGAAUUAGAACACGUGAUGAGCAUUGUUAUCAAGUGUGCCAGAAAAGAAGUGCCAAGUGUCCGGACGAAGUCAUAAAAAGACUACCAGUUCCACGAUCCAGAGCUGUAGCAAAAGCCAGCAUAAACCCGGACAUCACUUUCACCCCUGCAUUUCACGGAGAACUGUAUUACACCACUUGCACGUAUUCACUAUCACUAAGAACUGUGCUUGUGUUUUGUGUUAGUGUUGGUGUGUAAAACUGGACUUUUGGUUAUGGGUCAAACCUGGGGAAUUACAAAUACCGAGUGAUACACGCCGGUGUAUCACUCUAACAUUAUUAUUUACAGUUGUUUGCCAUAAGGCUCUGGACAUUGUUAAUUAAAUCAAUAAACACCCUUGCACCUGGAAA
Molecule: long non-coding RNA, 984 nt
Organism: Acipenser ruthenus (sterlet)
Lineage: Eukaryota; Metazoa; Chordata; Actinopteri; Acipenseriformes; Acipenseridae
Exons: 2
Source: RefSeq, a predicted model, not a curated record